UUCUUCAAACUCGUCUUGCAGGUUUCUAAAGCGCCGGUCGCAGGCCAGGAGUUAAAAACAGAUCCUGAAGCACAGCCUCCAUCGCAGCCUAAGCCAUGUAGAGGAAGGUGUUGAUGUCGGCCUCCUCCCUCUUUAUGUACUUGUGUUCGAUGAGCCACUCAAUCUGCUCCUUGAUCAUCUUCUUCUGUGGCAGGAACAUGUUCUUCAGGAUCUCCACCAGCUCCGUCUGCAGCUGAGCGUUGCUGAGCCUCUUCCUCAUCUUCAUGAUUUGGAUGAUGGCCUCCUGAGUUGGAACAAAACAGUGAAUGUUAUGAAUUUCUUUAGAAGCUGCAUUACGCCUCUGGCCACAGGCUGUUGUAAAAAUCCUUUGAGACCUUGUGAGUGUUGUAUUUUCAAACCUGAGUUCGGAGUAUUCUGAGCUGCACGAUUCCUUCGUUCUCCUCCUCUCUCAUUCGCUCAGUGGUCAGCUGCAGGCGACCAAUCAGAUUGAUCUUCCCUCGCUUCUGGACUUUGGAGUUCUUGCUGAGAAAAACAAAAACAAAAAGCAGAAACCAGAACAAAGACAAUCAAUAACCAGUCGUUUCUGGUGAGGCAUCAACACGCACAGACCUGCACAUGCUGAAAGCCAGGAGGGAGCUUACAUGAGGGAGAACUCCUGGUUGACGUAGAAGAUGGUGCUGUCGGUGAAGUCUUUGGGAGAAUUAACUGAAGGAUCGUAAGACAGCACCUGCCUCUUCAGUUUGGGGAAGGCGACGAGGGACUGAAGAGAAAGAAAAGAGAAGAAUAGAUUUAUGUUAAGUUAAUAAACAUCAUCGAUACUUGAGUCAUAGAAACGGCCAGCGUGUCAGUUCCAUUACUGCCGAAGCUAAACAUGGUGUUUACAUUUGAAAGGACUGAACUAUCUCUGCUUGUAAAGAUUAGUGCAGUUAAGAGGAAAUUAUGCACAAACAUAAUUCAUGAUGUGAACUUCCCGUUGUGUUUAAAGAUGAGAAAAUGUUUCAGUCCUAAAGAUGGUUUGUGUGUUUAUAUCUGCUGAUAAAUAUCAGUGAGCACAGAUAUGGAUCUUUAUUAUUGAUACUGGCAUAAUCAUUUCUUAAACACAAUUCGCAAAGACUGUAAUGAACCUCAGUGAAUGAACUUGUAAUUGUUGGAUUUGAAUAAAGCAUCUAAAAGGUCAGACCCAGAGGGUGCGUCGCAGCUCGGCGUCUGGCAGCUCUGUGGCCAGUUUCAGGUUCUCAAAGCUGAUCCUCUCUCUGGGUCGCUGGUUCCAGGCGAACAACACAGCGAGCUGGAAGGUCGUGACCUCCAGGUCGUACUGACCCACUUCAUUUUUAAAAGUGAUCUGAGCAGAGAGGAGGAGAAACGAUAGAAAAGUUUGUGAAGAAGUGUCGUUUACUGAUAUGAUGGCGUCAUGUUGCUCUGUGGGAUUUGUAACUUGACAAAUGCUGAAAAGAAUAAAUCAGAGAAAAUAUUCUAUA
Molecule: long non-coding RNA, 1478 nt
Organism: Pleuronectes platessa (European plaice)
Lineage: Eukaryota; Metazoa; Chordata; Actinopteri; Pleuronectiformes; Pleuronectidae
Exons: 2
Source: RefSeq, a predicted model, not a curated record